UCUCUGUUAGUAUAUCGGUUAGUACACGCGCUUGUCAUGAUAUCUCCGCUUGUACUGCCCGCGCGAAAGCGGGGUUCGACUCCCCGACAGAGAG
RNAcentral lists this transfer RNA (94 nucleotides) under Ganoderma leucocontextum. Its description in RNAcentral is "tRNA-Asp". The record is from RNAcentral. Lineage: Eukaryota; Fungi; Basidiomycota; Agaricomycetes; Polyporales; Polyporaceae.